GAACGCACCGCAGCACCGUUCUCCGAUGCAAAGAGGGCUGUAUCGAUGUAUUUACAUGUAUUUUACCCCUUUUUACUUCACCUCAUACUUGCUCCCGAAUGCUGAUACUAUGUGGGAAUGCAUAAAGGCGGCGUGAAAUGAGGGUGAGGAGGAAGAUUGGAGAGGCAUUCUGGCGGUGACAUUUGACAAAGGUCACGGAUGAGAUUCAAACCUGCGCAACGCCGGCCCCCCGACCCACAGGUGGAGGUGAUGGGUUUUUUUUUUUCUGAAGCAUCCUUUAAUCAUGGUUAAAGUGGAUGGACAGGAAGCCAGGGAGGGACAUAAGAUGUUUUAGCAGAUCUCCUCUGGUCCACAUCAGUGGUCCCGGCAUCCGACGUUCCUGCAAACUCCGGAACCCAGAUAAAGAGAGACUGGCGCCUGUUUGCAUAGCAGUGGACUUUCACACUGACGAGAACAAGUCAACUAAAUAAUCGACAACAAUGCCAGCAGAAGCGCUUACAGCCCUUCCUGUCCCGCUGGUAUGCUAAGACAUCACUAAAUAUUAAGAGCGCGGUGGCAAGCCAUGCGGAAACAUGGAUGCUCGUUUUAGCCCUUCGACAGGGUGGGAACCAUUUUUUUAAGAGAAUGUUGAGAAUGGAGCCAGGUCAAAGAAUUUGGUGAACCUUAAACAUUUAAAACAUGAAAUAGUUUUUAAUGAGUGGAACCUUGACUAGUGUAUUUUUUCGGUGUUGAUUUGCAAUAUGUCACACUUAAAUGUUUCCGAUCAUCAAACAAAUGUGAAAUAUUAGCCAACGACAACCUAAUAACUAAGUUGUUGGGUGAUCCUUAGUGGCAACAUCUGCAAUCAAGUGUUUGUGAUAACUUGCAAUGAGUCUUUUAGAGCGCUGUGUGUGUGGCAAACAUGCACCAAAUUUUUUAAUUCAUAUUUAUUUUAUUUUGUAUUCAAACCUUUUUGGGUGUCUGGAAUGGAUUAUUUGAAUGUACAAUAUUUCUAAUGUAGAGCAUGUUGUGGUUGUAUUACAAAA
Doryrhamphus excisus (bluestripe pipefish) is the source of this 1025-nucleotide long non-coding RNA. RefSeq lists it as uncharacterized. The record is from RefSeq and is a predicted model, not a curated record. Lineage: Eukaryota; Metazoa; Chordata; Actinopteri; Syngnathiformes; Syngnathidae.